Molecule: ribosomal RNA, 253 nt
Filed under: uncultured bacterium
Lineage: Bacteria
Description: partial 16S ribosomal RNA
Rfam family: Bacterial small subunit ribosomal RNA
Source: RNAcentral
UACGGGGGGGGCAAGCGUUGUUCGGAAUUACUGGGCGUAAAGGGCUCGUAGGUGGCCAACUAAGUCGGACGUGAAAUCCCUCGGCUUAACCGGGGAACUGCGUCCGAUACUGGUUGGCUUGAGUUUGGGAGAGGGAUGCGGAAUUCCAGGUGUAGCGGUGAAAUGCGUAGAUAUCGGGAGGAACACCUGAGGCGAAGGCGGGCUACUGGGCUGAUACUGACGCUGAUGCGCGAAAGCCAGGGGAGCGAACGGG